This 492-nucleotide ribosomal RNA is filed under the name uncultured bacterium. Its description in RNAcentral is "partial 16S ribosomal RNA". It matches the Rfam family "Bacterial small subunit ribosomal RNA", at positions 29 to 507 of the family's 1533-position model. The record is from RNAcentral.
AGUGAACGCUGGCGGUAGGCCUAACACAUGCAAGUCGAACGGCAGCACAGUAAGAGCUUGCUCUUACGGGUGGCGAGUGGCGGACGGGUGAGGAAUACAUCGGAAUCUACUUUUUCGUGGGGGAUAACGUAGGGAAACUUACGCUAAUACCGCAUACGACCUACGGGUGAAAGCAGGGGAUCUUCGGACCUUGCGCGAUUGAAUGAGCCGAUGUCGGAUUAGCUAGUUGGCGGGGUAAAGGCCCACCAAGGCGACGAUCCGUAGCUGGUCUGAGAGGAUGAUCAGCCACACUGGAACUGAGACACGGUCCAGACUCCUACAGGAGGCAGCAGUGGGGAAUAUUGGACAAUGGGCGCAAGCCUGAUCCAGCCAUACCGCGUGGGUGAAGAAGGCCUUCGGGUUGUAAAGCCCUUUUGUUGGGAAAGAAAAGCAGCAGGUUAAUACCCCGCUGUUCUGACGUUACCCAAAGAAUAAGCACCGGCUAACUUCGUG